UACAUAUCUGCUCCCUGACAUCGGAAGUUGCUUGGCUUACCUUUCUAGUAGGAUCUAUUCAUUUAGCAAUAGCAGUUAUAAUUAUGCUUUAAAAAUACUUACAGUAAAAUCUGAUUUCACAUGCUCCUGCAUUUUGGGGGGAGGGGAAAAAUCUUGACUAGAAAGUCUCACUUCUUGAAUGAAACUUUCUGUGCUUCAAAGCUCUCAAAGCUAAACAGAAUUAUUGAAAAUUAGGGUUGGAAGGGACCUCAGGAGGUCACCUAGUCUAACGCCCUGCUUGAAGCAGGACUACCCCCAACUAUAUCACCCCACCAAGGCUUUUAAAAUUUCCAAGUGAACAUAAGUAAUAGGUUUAGAUGCCAAAAAUGAGUCCAGUAAGGCAGUUAUUUUAGUACUGUAGUGUAUAUGAAUCAUUGUGUUCCUGUGAACUUGAACGUGUAGGAAGAAUUAUAUUUGUCAAUCUUCUUUUGUUAAAUAGAAACCAAAAGACUUAUCUAGGCAGAAUUGUGGUGGGGGAUAUUUAUUCCAGUUUUUGCUAUAAUUUUAAAUCUUCCAAUUUGAAUGUUGUAUCACUGGGAUUUUUACCUUUAAAUGGGUAAAGUAUUGUCAUGAAAUACUGUAUGAUGCACACCCAAAGAGAAGGUACAAUGUAUUUUAAGGUUGGGAAAUUAUAUUAGAGCAAAUAGAAGCAAAAGUGUCUAGCCAAACCAAUAAUUACCCUUCUAUUAAUACUAGAUUCUGUUUCUCACCUGUCUAAACGCUUUCCUCUGGUGAGAUAGUAUCAUCUUUUUACAUUAAUCUUAGGAUUUAGUAUGGGAUAGUUUUAAAAUUGCUCUUUUGUGUAAAGUUAAGACUAACAGUCCUGAUUUCCUCAAUUCUGAAAAAAGCCCCUCUUUUUCCUGAUUUACAUACUUAGAAACAUGUUUCUAUUUUAACACUGAUUGAUGGAGGUUGGGUGUUUUGCUUUUGUUUUGGCGAGUCUCUGCUUUUACAUUGGUACGUGGUAUCAUAACUGAUAGGUGAUUUCCCUUGUGGAGUGGGGUGUGGGGUUCCAAAGAGGAAAUCAUCCACUAUGAAUGCUUUGGGCUUGAUUCAGUACUCUGUAAAGUCAAUGAAAAGACUCCCAUUCAUCUCAGUGUCAAUUGGAUUGGAUCCUUAAAAUGGCUUUUCUUGGGGAAACAAGAAAGAUUAAAAAUAGAUUUAAAAAAUAAAUAAAAAAACAAGACGGAUUAAAAAUAGAAUGAAAAGUUUUGACUUUUAAGCUGCUAGUUCAGGUCUAGUAAAGGCUGGUAGGGAAUAAAAGUCAACUGUUUGGGAACCUUUUGGCCUUUUUGAAGAUAGGCUAGUAUGAUUUGUGGUGGAAAAGCAUCAAACCCUACUUUCCAGCUUUUCUUGUGCUGUUUUCAACGUUCCUUUGAAGACUGUUUGUUGGCUCUGUUAAUAUCUUUGGAAAUGGUGAUUUGUAUUGGACAUGGAACUUUUGUAACUCUUGGAAAGGAUUUCUAAAUGUAUUGUCUACAGAACUAACCGUGGGUAUUUUUAGAGUCCAAAAUGUGAACUAAUUCACUAAUUGAGAAAUUAACUGUUUUUUCUUCUUCUUUCAGCGCUACAACUUGUUGUGAAGCAUUUACAGCUGCUCCACUUGUGCAUAUUUUCAAACAGGCAGGAUCUUUUGAAAACGAUACCUCAUGUUAUAUUAUUAAAAUGGCUAUCCAUACAAGGCUGAGUGUAAAAAUGAAAAUGCUGACAGGUUCAAGCAGGACAGUUUCAGGAAUGUAUGACUUGAGAGAGGCAGCCAGACAGACAAUCCAAAUGCUUCAGUUGGCAGGAUGAAGUGAUAUGCUAAUGUAAGAGAAAAGGUCUGCCUGCAGUCAUUCCCUACCCUCCAGAGUGCUUACUUCACCCCACAAUUUAGUAUCAUCUGCAGACUUGGACACAGGACACUUCACGCCCACAUCCAAGUCACUGAUGAAGACACUGAAGAGUACAGGUCUGAGGACUGAGCUCGGUGGGACCCCACUACCCAGAUCCUUCCAGGUCAAUACCGACCCGUCUACUACCACUCUCUGGGUGCGACCCGCAAGCCAAUUUGCCACCCACCAGACCGUUUAAACAUCUAAGUCACAGCCUCUUAAUUUAUUUAAGAGAAUGGGAUGAGAUACCGUAUCGGAGGUCUUCCUAAAAUCCCAAAAAACAACAUCCACCUCUACUUCUGCAUCAGCAUUUUGUGACCUGGUUAUAAAAUGAAACCAGAUGAGUCAGGCAUGAUCUACCUGCUACAGAUCAAUGCUGGUUGCCCUGCUUUAUCAACGAUUUGGAAGACGGGGUGAAAAGCAGUCUGUUCAAAUUUGCUGAUGAUACCAAAAUAUGGGGAGAGGUGGGCACGUUAGCAGGGAGGGAGAGACUGCAGAAAGACCUGGAUAGGUUGCAGGGGCGGGCUAACAAAAACAGGAUGCGUUUCAAUAGUGACAAGUGCAGGGUGCUGUACUUGGGCAGUAGUAACCAGCAGCACACUUAUAAGAUGGGAAACUCCCUUCUUGAGAGCACGGAGGCAGAAAGGGAUCAUGUAGUCAUUAUUGACUCCAAGAUGAACACGGGCCGACAAUGCGAGGUCACAGUCGGCAGGGCUAACCAGACUGUA
Long non-coding RNA from Alligator mississippiensis (American alligator), 2641 nucleotides. RefSeq lists it as uncharacterized. The transcript has 3 exons. NCBI's taxonomy places the organism in Eukaryota, Metazoa, Chordata, Crocodylia, Alligatoridae. The record is from RefSeq and is a predicted model, not a curated record.